Molecule: non-coding RNA, 91 nt
Organism: Mycena latifolia
Lineage: Eukaryota; Fungi; Basidiomycota; Agaricomycetes; Agaricales; Mycenaceae
Source: the annotation of a GenBank genome assembly
GCCGUCGUCGACCAGUGGAAGGUCAUCCUCGCCAUGUGAUGCACACUCACUUCUUCCGAGGAAGACGGGGGUUCGAUUCCCCCCGGUGGUA